AUCCAGCUGAUGAGUCCCAAAUAGGACCAGACGUACGUCUUGGAU
RNAcentral lists this non-coding RNA (45 nucleotides) under Schistosoma margrebowiei. Lineage: Eukaryota; Metazoa; Platyhelminthes; Trematoda; Strigeidida; Schistosomatidae. The record is from RNAcentral.